Molecule: unclassified non-coding RNA, 364 nt
Filed under: uncultured Chloroflexota bacterium
Lineage: Bacteria; Bacillati; Chloroflexota
Description: uncultured Chloroflexi bacterium contains 16S-23S intergenic spacer region
Source: RNAcentral
UCCGGGUUGGUCCCGGCGGUCCCGCCAGACACGAUAACUGGCGGCGAGGGUUGCGCUCGUUGCGGGACUUAACCCAACACCUCACGGCACGAGCUGACGACAGCCGUGCAGCACCUGUGCACGCUCCCUCGCGGGUCCUCGGCCUUUCGGCCUCGUACCACGUGCAUGUCAAGCCCAGGUAAGGUUCUUCGCGUUGCGUCGAAUUAAACCACACGCUCCGCUGCUUGUGCGGGCCCCCGUCAAUUCCUUUGAGUUUUAGCCUUGCGGCCGUAGUCCCCAGGCGGCGGACUUAUCGCGUUGGCUGCGGCACCGGGGGGGUCGAUACCCCCGACACCUAGUCCGCAUCGUUUACGGCGUGGACUAC